CAAUAGCGUAUAUUAAAGUUGUUGCAGUUAAAAAGCUCGUAGUUGGAUUUCUGCUGAGGACGAUCGGUCCGCCCACUGGGUGAGUAUCUGGCUCGGCCUUGGCAUCUUCUUGGAGAACGUUGCUGCACUUGACUGUGUGGCGCGGUAUCCAGGACUUUUACUUUGAGGAAAUUAGAGUGUUUCAAGCAGGCGCACGCCUUGAAUACAUUAGCAUGGAAUAAUGAGAUAGGACCUUGGUUCUAUUUUGUUGGUUUCUAGAGCUGAGGUAAUGAUUAAUAGGGAUAGUUGGGGGCAUUCGUAUUUAACUGUCAGAGGUGAAAUUCUUGGAUUUGUUAAAGACGGACUACUGCGAAGGCAUUUGCCAAGGAUGUUUUCAUUGA
This 380-nucleotide ribosomal RNA is filed under the name uncultured eukaryote. RNAcentral's name for it is "partial 18S ribosomal RNA". It matches the Rfam family "Eukaryotic small subunit ribosomal RNA", at positions 592 to 976 of the family's 1831-position model. The record is from RNAcentral.